This 467-nucleotide ribosomal RNA is filed under the name uncultured bacterium. RNAcentral describes it as "partial 16S ribosomal RNA". It matches the Rfam family "Bacterial small subunit ribosomal RNA", at positions 29 to 507 of the family's 1533-position model. The record is from RNAcentral.
ACGAACGCUGGCGGCGUGCUUAACACAUGCAAGUCGAACGGAAAGGCCCUGCUUUUGUGGGGUGCUCGAGUGGCGAACGGGUGAGUAACACGUGAGUAACCUGCCCUUGACUUUGGGAUCACUUCAGGAAACUGGGUCUAAUACCGGAUAGGAGCUCCUGCUGCAUGGUGGGGGUUGGAAAGUUUCGGCGGUUGGGGAUGGACUCGCGGCUUAUCAGCUUGUUGGUGGGGUAGUGGCUUACCAAGGCUUUGACGGGUAGCCGGCCUGAGAGGGUGACCGGCGACAUUGGGACUGAGAUACGGCCCAGACUCCUACGGGAGGCAGCAGUGGGGAAUAUUGCACAAUGGGCGGAAGCCUGAUGCAGCAACGCCGCGUGCGGGAUGACGGCCUUCGGGUUGUAAACCGCUUUCGCCUGUGACGAAGCGUGAGUGACGGUAAUGGGUAAAGAAGCACCGGCUAACUACGUG